RNAcentral lists this long non-coding RNA (239 nucleotides) under Volvox carteri. RNAcentral's name for it is "long non-coding RNA (VCAR_LNC000237)". Lineage: Eukaryota; Viridiplantae; Chlorophyta; Chlorophyceae; Chlamydomonadales; Volvocaceae. The record is from RNAcentral.
UCACGUUGCCCCACACCUCUCGGUUGAGUUGAAGUUAGCAACAACCCCCCUACGAAUCAGCCUCUUCGUCUGCGUACGGUAUGUAGUUAAUCAGAUCCUUUUUGUCCUUUUACUCCCCCUUAACGUGCUUAAGAUGUUGGCAGAACGCCUUUGCGCUUAUUUAUAGACUCAUGAUGAGUGUGCCGUACUAAGUGGCAGCUACUACGCGCGGUAGGUCAGCAAACGCCAGGUUGGGCCCC